RNAcentral lists this ribosomal RNA (835 nucleotides) under uncultured bacterium. Its description in RNAcentral is "bacterial SSU rRNA". It matches the Rfam family "Bacterial small subunit ribosomal RNA", at positions 70 to 905 of the family's 1533-position model. The record is from RNAcentral.
ACAGGGAAGCUUGCUUCCGCUGACGACCGGCGCACGGGUGCGUAACGCGUAUGCAACCUACCUCUAACUGGGGAAUAGCCCCGAGAAAUCGGGAUUAAUACCUCAUAACAUUUAUCAUUCGCAUGUUUGAUAAAUUAAAGUUCCGACGGUUAGAGAUGGGCAUGCGUGACAUUAGCUUGUUGGUGAGGUAACGGCUCACCAAGGCUGCGAUGUCUAGGGGUUCUGAGAGGAUUUUCCCCCACACUGGUACUGAGACACGGACCAGACUCCUACGGGAGGCAGCAGUAAGGAAUAUUGGGCAAUGGACGAAAGUCUGACCCAGCCAUGCCGCGUGCAGGAUGACGGCCCUACGGGUUGUAAACUGCUUUUAUAUAGGAAGAAACCCCAUUACGUGUAAUGGGCUGACGGUACUAUACGAAUAAGCACCGGCUAACUCCGUGCCAGCAGCCGCGGUAAUACGGAGGGUGCAAGCGUUAUCCGGAUUUAUUGGGUUUAAAGGGUGCGCAGGCGGAAUGAUUAGUCAGUGGUGAAAUCCUACAGCUCAACUGUAGAACUGCCAUUGAUACUGUCAUUCUUGAGUACAGAUGAAGUGGGCGGAAUGUAUCAUGUAGCGGUGAAAUGCAUAGAUAUGAUACAGAACUCCGAUAGCGAAGGCAGCUCACUAAACUGACACUGACGCUCAGGCACGAAAGCGUGGGGAGCAAACAGGAUUAGAUACCCUGGUAGUCCACGCCGUAAACGAUGAUCACUCGUUGUUGGCAACACAUCGUCAGCGACUGAACGAAAGUAUUAAGUGAUCCACCUGGGGAGUACGAUCGCAAGGUUGAAACUCAAA